UGCUGUGUCACGGAGCUGGUUUUUCACGAGUGUGCCGAGACGCUGAGUUUUUUCCCCCUUCCUUCUCACAGACGCAGUGCGGCACAAGCAGACGACUGCAGACAGAGCAGGCAGAGGAGCGUACUGCUGCGACUCGCACAUUUUUCUCCCAAAGCUCUGCUCCUCUCCGUUCUCCAUCGAAAUGGGCUAAUUUUCUCCUUGUGGAAAGGCUGAGAACUGGGACGGUGGAGCAAAACGACACUCGUAAACUCGUAGGAAUUACACUCCAUCUUGGAGGAGGAACAAAGAAUUUGGACAUUUUUUUGGGAGACCUGUAAGGCAACGAAAGCUUCAUUUGGACAAAGAGAGGAUGCCGGAGUCAUAGAAGAACUUCUCGCCUUUUUUUUGCGACUGGUUUAGCCGGGCCUGUGUGCAUGGGCCGGUCCUGCUUCUGGUUCUAGUUUGCUUUGUCUUCAUGUGAACCUCAGCGUGUUACAUCGAGAUGAACCCAAAAAGUCAGCCGAAGGAAGCUGCCACUGAGAGAGUGCAGAGCAGAGCGCUCAGCCAGCCAGACAUGCUGACCUAAAUCAGUCUCCUUCAUGUCUUGGCUCAGCGACUGAACGAGAACGGUGAAGCCAGAACGAGAACACGAGACAGAGUUAGAUUUACACACCAGACAUAAUAGCCUGCAAAGUGCCUAGGUAGAAAACGUGCCCUCAUCUCUGAAGUUCUUCCCUGUAAUCCAGUCUCCUCCGUGUCCUCAGCUGCCCGUCUGUUGCUGCGCUGUUAUCCGUCUGCAGUAGAGAUCGGGAGAAGAGCGUGGGAGGGGAGGAGGAGGAGGAGGAGGAGGAGAUCACAAUGCGACGCCACUUUCUCUCCUGGUUUGCCGUCACUGCUUGGUUGCUCAGAGCUCCGGUGUUGCGAAGUAGUGAAACUGCUCCUGUCCUCGCGACAAAGGGCACAGAACGGCUUGGGUGAUGUAACGCAGGCACAUCAGGACAGCUGCUCAGGGCAAAUAUACAGACUGAAAAUGUCAGUACGUGAUCACUGUGUAAGUGUAGUGAGAUUCAGAUUUCAUCAGCUAGAGCUACCAGCUAGUCUGUGCACUUCUUAAAAUCGUGACUUACUUGCACCCUGUUUAGGAUCAUCAAGAAAUAUGGAUGAAGCAACUUCCUGUUGAGGAAAAUUCCAAAUAUCCCACAGGUGUGAAUGUGUUCAGGUAACAGGGUUGAGCGAAUGUUGUGACACUUUUUUCCAUAAUGUAUAAUGGAAGGGCGUUUCAACCAUGAAAUGUUAAACUGAUUCAUACAGGAACGCACAAAUUGUAACAUUACUGAUUACGUUUUGAGAUAAAUUGUAUUACUGUAUACUUGGUUGCUCAAGUUAAAUGCUGUUUUAAAAUGGUAUUUAUUUCAGUCAUUUAUUUAUUUUAAGGGUACUUAACCUGUGUGUAAAAUAUAUUUAACCUUUACUUUACAUACAUUUUUAUAAAUGUACUUUGUAUCCGAUAAAAAAAAUAAAUAUAAGUUUUAUAUCUAAA
Molecule: long non-coding RNA, 1519 nt
Organism: Ictalurus punctatus (channel catfish)
Lineage: Eukaryota; Metazoa; Chordata; Actinopteri; Siluriformes; Ictaluridae
Exons: 2
Source: RefSeq, a predicted model, not a curated record